This 230-nucleotide ribosomal RNA is filed under the name uncultured bacterium. Its description in RNAcentral is "partial 16S ribosomal RNA". It matches the Rfam family "Bacterial small subunit ribosomal RNA", at positions 562 to 790 of the family's 1533-position model. The record is from RNAcentral.
AAAGGGAGCGUAGGCGGCUGAUUAAGUCAGCGGUGAAAGGUAGCAGCUUAACUGUUUUACAUGCCGUUGAUACUGGUUAGCUUGAGUUGACAGAAGGCAGAUAGAAUUCCUGAUGUAGCGGUGAAAUGCUUAGAUAUCAGGAGGAAUACCGAUUGCGAAGGCAGUCUGCUGCAGUCACACUGACGCUGAGGCUCGAAGGUGCGGGGAUCAAACAGGAUUAGAUACCCUGU